CUCAACGUCGACAAGGCAGUGUCUACUGUCUAGGCAUAGCUAAAAAUUGGGAGCGAUUUUUUCUGCAUUUAAGCUCGAAGACAAUGUCUCCGUUAUUUUCUGCCAUCUUUUUGUUUGGCCUGUGCGUGGCAAACGCCAUCAACUUCACAACCGUCUACCAGUGGGACAAAUUCGAUUUCAUCUGGCCAUCAGAAGCGGAUACUUCAAAUGGACAGAUUAAAAAUGAAUACAGGCCGGAAAAUGUUGUUCCUUCAUUCAUGGCUGUUUAUGGAGAAAGGCUGUUUCUAAGCCUUUGGCUUCUGGAAUUCCCGCCACUUUGGUGUGGCUGCCAACGAGUGGCUCGUCGACUGCACCUCCAAAACUUGCUCCUUUCCCAACCUGGGAAUUACAU
Molecule: long non-coding RNA, 391 nt
Organism: Cloeon dipterum
Lineage: Eukaryota; Metazoa; Arthropoda; Insecta; Ephemeroptera; Baetidae
Exons: 2
Source: RefSeq, a predicted model, not a curated record